Molecule: ribosomal RNA, 827 nt
Filed under: Limosilactobacillus fermentum
Lineage: Bacteria; Bacillati; Bacillota; Bacilli; Lactobacillales; Lactobacillaceae
Description: bacterial SSU rRNA
Rfam family: Bacterial small subunit ribosomal RNA
Source: RNAcentral
GUUAUCCGGAUUUAUUGGGCGUAAAGAGAGUGCAGGCGGUUUUCUAAGUCUGAUGUGAAAGCCUUCGGCUUAACCGGAGAAGUGCAUCGGAAACUGGAUAACUUGAGUGCAGAAGAGGGUAGUGGAACUCCAUGUGUAGCGGUGGAAUGCGUAGAUAUAUGGAAGAACACCAGUGGCGAAGGCGGCUACCUGGUCUGCAACUGACGCUGAGACUCGAAAGCAUGGGUAGCGAACAGGAUUAGAUACCCUGGUAGUCCAUGCCGUAAACGAUGAGUGCUAGGUGUUGGAGGGUUUCCGCCCUUCAGUGCCGGAGCUAACGCAUUAAGCACUCCGCCUGGGGAGUACGACCGCAAGGUUGAAACUCAAAGGAAUUGACGGGGGCCCGCACAAGCGGUGGAGCAUGUGGUUUAAUUCGAAGCUACGCGAAGAACCUUACCAGGUCUUUGACAUCUUGCGCCAACCCUAGAGAUAGGGCGUUUCCUUCGGGAACGCAAUGACAGGUGGUGCAUGGUCGUCGUCAGCUCGUGUCGUGAGAUGUUGGGUUAAGUCCCGCAACGAGCGCAACCCUUGUUACUAGUUGCCAGCAUUAAGUUGGGCACUCUAGUGAGACUGCCGGUGACAAACCGGAGGAAGGUGGGGACGACGUCAGAUCAUCAUGCCCCUUAUGACCUGGGCUACACACGUGCUACAAUGGACGGUACAACGAGUCGCGAACUCGCGAGGGCAAGCAAAUCUCUUAAAACCGUUCUCAGUUCGGACUGCAGGCUGCAACUCGCCUGCACGAAGUCGGUAUCGCUAGUAAUCGCGAAUCAGCAUGCCGCGGUGAA